GUUUUCUUUAUUUUUUUGGUCCACCGAGGGCCCUAAGUGUGUUUUCUCGCAGGAACCGGUGCAAGUUCGCCUGAAUUCGGCCAAAAACGGCCAAAGAUAGCCAACCCAAGCCAGAGUGCCGCCACUCGUAGGUACCGUAAGCACGUUUCAGUUCCCGAAGAAAAAUUCAGAGAACCUAGGGACCGCCCAUUUGCGCAGUAACCGUCUAGUUUUUGGCGGCGAAUCAAAUAAGGACCCCUCACCCUAUUUCCUAUCAUCAAAUUAAAGGUC
This 270-nucleotide long non-coding RNA is filed under the name Carica papaya (papaya). RNAcentral describes it as "long non-coding RNA (CPAP_LNC013685)". The record is from RNAcentral. Lineage: Eukaryota; Viridiplantae; Streptophyta; Magnoliopsida; Brassicales; Caricaceae.